CUGAAAACUAUGCCAGGGGUGGGGUCCUCCUUUACUUCCUGGUUCACAGAAAACCAGGAUCCCAAGCUUCCCCAUGCACCUCAAGCCACUUUGACAGUCUAGGACAAGGGCCAAAGAUCAGAAGUCUAUGAUCAAUAACAAGAAGGUCCGAACAGGAGCUGCAUAGUUGUUCCAAUAAGUUUCCCUGCCUACUAGCCAAGCUUUUAAGCAGAAGAUGCAGAAAUACUCACAACUGUCCGUCUCCUGGCCUGAAGGUACCUGUCACUACUAAUCUAAAUCCAAGUACUCUGAGGGCAUUGUUACAUUGAGGAACUUAAGAACAGCCCUGCCAGAUACCUAUU
Podarcis raffonei (Aeolian wall lizard) is the source of this 341-nucleotide long non-coding RNA. RefSeq lists it as uncharacterized. Lineage: Eukaryota; Metazoa; Chordata; Lepidosauria; Squamata; Lacertidae. The transcript is spliced from 3 exons. The record is from RefSeq and is a predicted model, not a curated record.